UGCCUGGUAGUGGGGGAUAACGUUCGGAAACGGACGCUAAUACCGCAUACGUCCUACGGGAGAAAGCAGGGGACCUUCGGGCCUUGCGCUAUCAGAUGAGCCUAGGUCGGAUUAGCUAGUUGGUGAGGUAAUGGCUCACCAAGGCUACGAUCCGAAACUGGUCUGAGAGGAUGAUCAGUCACACUGGAUCUGAGAAACGGUCCAGGCUCGUACGGGAGGCAGCAGUGGGGAAUAGUGGACAAUGGGCGAAAGCCU
RNAcentral lists this ribosomal RNA (255 nucleotides) under uncultured bacterium. RNAcentral describes it as "partial 16S ribosomal RNA". It matches the Rfam family "Bacterial small subunit ribosomal RNA", at positions 127 to 384 of the family's 1533-position model. The record is from RNAcentral.